GGUUUCCCUUUACGAAUUGUAGUUUAAAGAAGUGUUUUCUGUUGAGGUUUUGGUAAAAGUUCUUUGGAAUAGGACAUCAUAGAGGGUGAGAAUCCCGUAUUUGACCUUUACUUUCAACUUUGUGAUACACUUUCAAAGAGUCGGAUUGUUUGGGAAUGCAGUCCAAAAUGGGUGGCAAAUUUCAUCUAAAGCUAAAUAUUGGCGAGAGACCGAUAGCGAACAAGUACCGUGAGGGAAAGAUGAAAAGAACUUUGAAAAGAGAGUUAAACAGUACGUGAAAUUGUCAAAAGGGAAGCGUUUGACACCAGUGUUGUUUUUCUGAAAAUCAAUUAAAGAACUGUUUAUGCUAAGCUGUUUAGACUUUAUCAGCUAACUGUUUAGUUUUGAGCUUUUCUUU
Molecule: ribosomal RNA, 397 nt
Filed under: uncultured Neocallimastigomycetes
Lineage: Eukaryota; Fungi; Neocallimastigomycota; Neocallimastigomycetes
Description: eukaryotic LSU rRNA
Rfam family: Eukaryotic large subunit ribosomal RNA
Source: RNAcentral